GGUAAAUAAUUGCCGAAGAGACAAUUGGAAACCUGGUCCAGGCGCUGAACUUUGCUUAGAUCAUUUUGAGGAAUCUCAAUUUGAGUCACUAUGCAAAGAUAGUUAAAAAACUAAGAAAAACUGCAGUACCAACACUCUUUAGCAUUCCAAAUCCACCACCAUCUGUAACUGACAAGAGGAUAAGAGAAGUAAGAUGUCCUAAGCCAAAUACUGAAGUGGAAACUCUACCUGCUUCAAAUGAAGAGUUGU
RNAcentral lists this long non-coding RNA (249 nucleotides) under Stegodyphus dumicola. RNAcentral's name for it is "uncharacterized LOC118184202". The record is from RNAcentral. Lineage: Eukaryota; Metazoa; Arthropoda; Arachnida; Araneae; Eresidae.